UUAGAUACCCUGGUAGUCCACGCCCUAAACGAUGUCAACUAGCUGUUGGGGCCGUUAGGCCUUAGUAGCGCAGCUAACGCGUGAAGUUGACCGCCUGGGGAGUACGGUCGCAAGAUUAAAACUCAAAGGAAUUGACGGGGACCCGCACAAGCGGUGGAUGAUGUGGAUUAAUUCGAUGCAACGCGAAAAACCUUACCUACCCUUGACAUGUCUGGAAUGCCGAAGAGAUUUGGCAGUGCUCGCAAGAGAACCGGAACACAGGUGCUGCAUGGCUGUCGUCAGCUCGUGUCGUGAGAUGUUGGGUUAAGUCCCGCAACGAGCGCAACCCUUGUCAUUAGUUGCUACGCAAGAGCACUCUAAUGAGACUGCCGGUGACAAACCGGAGGAAGGUGGGGAUGACGUCAAGUCCUCAUGGCCCUUAUGGGUAGGGCUUCACACGUCAUACAAUGGUCGGGACAGAGGGUCGCCAACCCGCGAGGGGGAGCCAAUCUCAGAAACCCGAUCGUAGUCCGGAUCGCAGUCUGCAACUCGACUGCGUGAAGUCGGAAUCGCUAGUAAUCGCGGAUCAGAAUGUCGCGGUGAAUACGUUCCCGGGUCUUGUACACACCGCCCGUCA
This 616-nucleotide ribosomal RNA is filed under the name Alcaligenes sp. C-6. RNAcentral's name for it is "bacterial SSU rRNA". It matches the Rfam family "Bacterial small subunit ribosomal RNA", at positions 778 to 1399 of the family's 1533-position model. The record is from RNAcentral. Lineage: Bacteria; Pseudomonadati; Pseudomonadota; Betaproteobacteria; Burkholderiales; Alcaligenaceae.